Molecule: ribosomal RNA, 305 nt
Filed under: uncultured bacterium
Lineage: Bacteria
Description: bacterial SSU rRNA
Rfam family: Bacterial small subunit ribosomal RNA
Source: RNAcentral
UGGUCCUACGGGAGGCAGCAGUAGGGAAUCUUCCACAAUGGGCGAAAGCCUGAUGGAGCAACGCCGCGUGGGUGAAGAAGGUCUUCGGAUCGUAAAACCCUGUUGUUAGAGAAGAAAGUGCGUGAGAGUAACUGUUCACGUUUCGACGGUAUCUAACCAGAAAGCCACGGCUAACUACGUGCCAGCAGCCGCGGUAAUACGUAGGGAGCGAGCGUUAUCCGGAUUUAUUGGGUGUAAAGGGUGCGUAGGCGGCUUCUUAAGUCUGUAGUCUAAGCCCGGAGCUUAACUCCGGUUCGCUACAGAAA